UACUGUCAAGAAAAGCCGCUAUUGUUUGCAGGAUACCCGUACCGUAAACCGACACAGGUGGAUGAGGAGAGAAUCCUAAGGCCGACGGGAGAAGCAUUGUUAAGGAACUCGGCAAAAUGACUCCGUAACUUCGGGAGAAGGAGUGCCAGUAAGAUGGCCGCAGAGAAUUGGCCCAAGCAACUGUUUAGCAAAAACACAGGUCUAUGCAAAACCGAAAGGUGAGGUAUAUGGGCUGACGCCUGCCCGGUGCUGGAAGGUUAAGGGGAGAGGUUAGCGCAAGCGGAGCUUUGAACUUAAGCCCCAGUAAACGGCGGCCGUAACAAUAACGGUCCUAAGGUAGCGAAAUUCCUUGUCGGGUAAGUUCCGACCCGCACGAAAGGCGUAAUGAUUUGGGCACUGUCUCAACAAUGCACCCGGUGAAAUUGAAAUACCAGUGAAGAUGCUGGUUACCUGCGCCAGGACGGAAAGACCCCAUGGAGCUUUACUCCAGCUUGAUACUGGGAUUCGGUAUUGCAUGUACAGGAUAGGUGGGAGGCUAGGAAAUGGUAACGCCAGUUGCCAUGGAGCCAAUGUUGGGAUACCACCCUUGCAGUACUGGGUUUCUAACCAGCAGCCGUGAUCCGGCUGGGGGACAAUGUCAGGUGGGGAGUUUGACUGGGGCGGUCGCCUCCGAAAGGGUAUCGGAGGCGCUCAAAGGUUCCCUCAGAAUGGUUGGAAACCAUUCGAAGAGUGCAAAGGCAGAAGGGAGCUUGACUGCGACACCGACGGGUGGAGCAGGUACGAAAGUAGGACUUAGUGAUCCGGUGGUAUAAAGUGGGAUUGCCAUCGCUCAACGGAUAAAAGCUACCCUGGGAUAACAGGCUUAUCACUCCCAAGAGUUCACAUCGACGGAGUGGUUUGGCACCUCGAUGUCGGCUCAUCGCAUCCUGGGGCUGAAGUAGGUCCCAAGGGUUGGGCUGUUCGCCCAUUAAAGCGGUACGCGAGCUGGGUUCAGAACGUCGAGAGACAGUUCGGUCCCUAUCCGGCGUGGGCGUAAGAUAUUUGAGAGGAGCUGUCCUUAGUACGAGAGGACCGGGAUGGACUGGCCGCUGGUGUAUCUGUUGUCUUACCAAAGGCAUAGCAGAGUAGCCAAGCCGGGAAGGGAUAAACGCUGAAGGCAUCUAAGCGUGAAGCCCCCCUCAAGAUGAGAUAUCUCAUAACGUCAAGUUAGUAAGACCCCUUGAAGACGACGAGGUAGAUAGGGCAGAGGUGGAAGUGUGGUAACACAUGGAGCUGACUGUUACUAAUAGGUCGAGGGCAUAAUC
This 1304-nucleotide ribosomal RNA is filed under the name metagenome. RNAcentral's name for it is "bacterial LSU rRNA". It matches the Rfam family "Bacterial large subunit ribosomal RNA", at positions 1603 to 2925 of the family's 2925-position model. The record is from RNAcentral.